GAUGAAGAACGUAGCGAAAUGCGAUAAGUAAUGCGAAUUGCAGAAUUCAGUGAGUCAUCGAAUCUUUGAACGCACAUUGCGCCCUGUGGUAUUCCGCAGGGCAUGCCUGUUCGAGCGUCAUUGCUGCCCUCAAGCACGGCUUGUGUGUUGGGCCUCCGUCCUCCUCCCGGGGGACGGGCCCGAAAGGCAGCGGCGGCACCGCGUCCGGUCCUCGAGCGUAUGGGGCUUCGUCACCCGCUCUUGUAGGCCCGGCCGGCGCUUGCCGACACAUCAAUCUUUUUUCCAGGUUGACCUCGGAUCAGGUAGGGAUACCCGCUGAACUUAAGCAUAUCAAUAAGCGGAGGA
RNAcentral lists this unclassified non-coding RNA (345 nucleotides) under soil metagenome. RNAcentral's name for it is "partial contains 5.8S ribosomal RNA, internal transcribed spacer 2, and large subunit ribosomal RNA". The stretch from base 1 to 120 matches the Rfam family "5.8S ribosomal RNA", at positions 35 to 154 of the family's 154-position model. The record is from RNAcentral.